RNAcentral lists this ribosomal RNA (490 nucleotides) under uncultured bacterium. RNAcentral describes it as "partial 16S ribosomal RNA". It matches the Rfam family "Bacterial small subunit ribosomal RNA", at positions 29 to 507 of the family's 1533-position model. The record is from RNAcentral.
AGUGAACGCUGGCGGCAGGCCUAACACAUGCAAGUCGAACGGCAGCACAAGAGGGCUUGCUCUCUGGGUGGCGAGUGGCGGGCGGGUGAGGAAUGCAUCGGACUCUCCCCAUAUGUGGGGGAUAACCUCGGGAAACCGGGACUAAUACCGCAUACGACCUACAGGUGAAAGCAGGGGAGCUUCGGACCUUGCGCAUAUGGCUGAGCCGAUGCCGGAUUAGCUAGUUGGAGGGGUAAAGGCUAACCAAGGCGACGAUGCGUAGCUGGUCUGAGAGGAUGAUCAGCCACACUGGAACUGAGACACGGCCCAGACUCCUACGGGAGGCAGCAGUGGGGAAUAUUGGACAAUGGGCGCAAGCCUGAUCCAGCCAUGCCGCGUGUGUGAAGAAGGCCUUCGGGUUGUAAAGCACUGUUGUUGGGAAAGAAAAGCAGUCGGUUAAAACCCGGUUGUCAUGACGGUACCCAAAGAAUAAGCACCGGCUAACUUCGUG